AGAGUUUGAUCCUGGCUCAGGAUGAACGCUGGCGGCGUGCCUAAUACAUGCAAGUCGAGCGAACGGACGAGAAGCUUGCUUUUCUGAUGUUAGCGGCGGACGGGUGAGUAACACGUGGAUAACCUACCUAUAAGACUGGGAUAACUUCGGGAAACCGGAGCUAAUACCGGAUAAUAUUUUGAACCGCAUGGUUCAAAAGUGAAAGACGGUCUUGCUGUCACUUAUAGAUGGAUCCGCGCUGCAUUAGCUAGUUGGUAAGGUAACGGCUUACCAAGGCAACGAUGCAUAGCCGACCUGAGAGGGUGAUCGGCCACACUGGAACUGAGACACGGUCCAGACUCCUACGGGAGGCAGCAGUAGGGAAUCUUCCGCAAUGGGCGAAAGCCUGACGGAGCAACGCCGCGUGAGUGAUGAAGGUCUUCGGAUCGUAAAACUCUGUUAUUAGGGAAGAACAUAUGUGUAAGUAACUGUGCACAUCUUGACGGUACCUAAUCAGAAAGCCACGGCUAACUACGUGCCAGCAGCCGCGGUAAUACGUAGGUGGCAAGCGUUAUCCGGAAUUAUUGGGCGUAAAGCGCGCGUAGGCGGUUUUUUAAGUCUGAUGUGAAAGCCCACGGCUCAACCGUGGAGGGUCAUUGGAAACUGGAAAACUUGAGUGCAGAAGAGGAAAGUGGAAUUCCAUGUGUAGCGGUGAAAUGCGCAGAGAUAUGGAGGAACACCAGUGGCGAAGGCGACUUUCUGGUCUGUAACUGACGCUGAUGUGCGAAAGCGUGGGGAUCAAACAGGAUUAGAUACCCUGGUAGUCCACGCCGUAAACGAUGAGUGCUAAGUGUUAGGGGGUUUCCGCCCCUUAGUGCUGCAGCUAACGCAUUAAGCACUCCGCCUGGGGAGUACGACCGCAAGGUUGAAACUCAAAGGAAUUGACGGGGACCCGCACAAGCGGUGGAGCAUGUGGUUUAAUUCGAAGCAACGCGAAGAACCUUACCAAAUCUUGACAUCCUUUGACAACUCUAGAGAUAGAGCCUUCCCCUUCGGGGGACAAAGUGACAGGUGGUGCAUGGUUGUCGUCAGCUCGUGUCGUGAGAUGUUGGGUUAAGUCCCGCAACGAGCGCAACCCUUAAGCUUAGUUGCCAUCAUUAAGUUGGGCACUCUAAGUUGACUGCCGGUGACAAACCGGAGGAAGGUGGGGAUGACGUCAAAUCAUCAUGCCCCUUAUGAUUUGGGCUACACACGUGCUACAAUGGACAAUACAAAGGGCAGCGAAACCGCGAGGUCAAGCAAAUCCCAUAAAGUUGUUCUCAGUUCGGAUUGUAGUCUGCAACUCGACUACAUGAAGCUGGAAUCGCUAGUAAUCGUAGAUCAGCAUGCUACGGUGAAUACGUUCCCGG
This 1388-nucleotide ribosomal RNA is filed under the name Staphylococcus aureus F76253. RNAcentral's name for it is "bacterial SSU rRNA". It matches the Rfam family "Bacterial small subunit ribosomal RNA", at positions 8 to 1377 of the family's 1533-position model. Lineage: Bacteria; Bacillati; Bacillota; Bacilli; Caryophanales; Staphylococcaceae. The record is from RNAcentral.